This 1196-nucleotide long non-coding RNA is filed under the name Homo sapiens (human). RNAcentral describes it as "non-protein coding lnc-ARHGAP32-1:1". Lineage: Eukaryota; Metazoa; Chordata; Mammalia; Primates; Hominidae. The record is from RNAcentral.
GAGCCAGUGACCUUUGAGGAAGCACUUGCAUACCUCACCAGAUUGAAAGGGCCAGCCAGGACCCUGUGCAGAGGGCCCUAUACAGAGAGGUGAUGCUGGAGCGUUAUGCAGGGGUGGCUUCCCUGACUUUUUCAUUCAGCUAUCCUGUUCUGGUCUCCUAGCUAGAGAAAGGGGAACUCCCAUGGAACCCCUAUCUCUGAGAAUCUCAGAGUGAAACCAUAAAUGAGAAGGAAGGACUAAUUCCAAAGGAGCAUAGGUCCAAAGAAACAGAAUCCCUCCGACUGACACUGGGAGGGCUGCCAGAGAAUACUCCCCAGCACCUAGAUUUUGGGAGCAGCCUAGAGCAGCCCCAAGGUCACUGGAUGGUCAAGAUAAAGUCAAAGAGGGGAGAUUUCACAGAUGGGUCCACCAGGCAUCAGGAGGCCUGUGCUGAUGAGAGAGGGGAAAGUGUGAGAAAUUAGGAAAAAAUGUUAGCGUCAGCACACAACUCUACGAAUCAGACAACUCCUACCGGUCAGAUAGCUUAUGAAUGUGGAAAAUGUGACAGGUAUUUCAGUCAAAUGGCAGACUUCCACUGACAUCAGAGAGGUCACGGUGAUGAAAAGUUUUGAAUGCAAAGAAUGUGGAUGACUUCAGAUGCAGCACAUUACUUGUUUGGCAUCAGAUAAUGCACACUAGAAAUAAACCAUUUAAAUGGAAAGAAUGCGGGAAAGGUUUAAAUUCAGAUGCAGCCUUGAUUCAGCAUCAGAGAAUCCACGCUGGAGAAUCGCCCUCUGAACGUAAGGAGGGUGGCAAGGCCUUUGGCAAUAGCUCAGUCUUCCUUUAGCACCAGAGGUUCCACACUGGGGAGAAACUCUGUGAGUGUAACAAACAUUGGAAAACUUCUAGUUGUAGCUCAAGCUUCAUUGUCCAUCAGCAAUGCACACUUGGAAGAAACCCUAUGAAUGUAAAGAGUGUGGGAAUCUAUUAAGCACGGCCUUGACUCAGCAUCACUGAAUUCACACUGGAGAGAAGCCCUUUGCAUGUAAGGGUUGCAAGAAGGCAUUCGAUCAGAAAAUAACCCUGAUUCAGCACGAGGGAGUUCACACUGGUGAGAAACCUUAUGAGUGUAGAAGGUGUGGGAGCCCCUCAGCUGGUGUGGAAACUUCGUUAUGCAUCAGAAGCCACACACUCAAAAGGCACCCAUUUAAGCAUAG